Long non-coding RNA from Ricinus communis (castor bean), 1164 nucleotides. RefSeq lists it as uncharacterized. The record is from RefSeq and is a predicted model, not a curated record. The transcript has 2 exons. Lineage: Eukaryota; Viridiplantae; Streptophyta; Magnoliopsida; Malpighiales; Euphorbiaceae.
UAAUUACAAAAAUACCUCCACUUUCAUAUUCUUACAUUUUUAUGCUUUUUUUGAGAAAGCCAAUUUUCUAGCUCCUUAAUCUUCUUUAACGAUCAUGGAGUAUCUACAAGGAUUACACAAUUCCAGAUCUAGAUUUUAAGGGAUGGGAAAGCUCAUUCUGGCCUCAAAAUUAGCUAAAAAAUUCCAGCAAGAAGGUUAUCUAAGAAUGGCAGCAAUAGGCUGUGACUUCUUCUCUUUACUUCACCGAUAUUUGGUCGUUCUAGUGAGACUGGUGGCGAAGGAGAGGUUGAGACAUCAUGGAGAUGCUAUGGCAAGACUUACGCAUUGAAUGGCACCCGAAAAAAGAACAGAAUGGAGAUGGUGCAACAGUGAGAAAGAGAGCUGAUCGGGGAGGAAAAGACGAGUAGAGACUAAAAUGAAAUUUUUGCAGUAGUCUAAAUUACUUUUGGACAACUGAGAAGACGUUGUACUAAGAGCUGCUCAAAUGGGUCAGAUAGUUGAGAAGGUUUCUCAAGAGAAGUUUUGGGUCAGGUCUUCUCUGCCGCCGGCACAAUUGCCUUGAGUUUUAAAUGGGUAACAAUAAUUAAAAAAUUACAGCUUAAAGCUUCCUAUAUUUUCUGGGUUCUAUUUAGCUAUGAUAAAACCUUGGCUUAGAGGGUUUUGUUUUGUUCUAUUUAAGUUCUUAACUUCUUUUUUAAAGUCUAAAUUGUGAGAUGAUAAAUGAUUGCAAAGCUAAAGAAGAGAAUAGAAAAGAAUUAUGAAGAGGAUGAAGGAGACCAUGAUCUUGCAUAUAUUUAAUCAACUGAUGAGAAGCAUUCAUGAAACCAUGAUCUUGCAUGUACUUAUAAUCAACUGAUGGGAAGCAUUCAUGAAGCUCUUGGCAGGGAUUGGAGAGUGAGAUAUGUGUAUGUGGUGCAUAAGGAUUGGUGCGUGAAGCUAAUGGCUUUGCCUGUUGGUUUGCAAACAGAGCUUUGAGUUGUAAUAUUGGAGACCAUGAUCUUGCAUAUAUUUAAUCAACUGAUGAGAAGCAUUAUAUUAGUUGAAUGAUUUUUCAUUGAGGUUUAGUUGAUGCUUGGUUGACUUUAGAUAUCUAUAGUUUAUGUUUUGUUGAUUUUUUGUUUAUUUUCUAAUCCAUAUUUAUUUAAAUUUUAAUUUUAUUCGUUA